CAAUAAGCGGAGGAAAAGAAACCAACAGGGAUUGCCUCAGUAACGGCGAGUGAAGCGGCAACAGCUCAAAUUUGAAAUCUGGCUCUUUCAGGGUCCGAGUUGUAAUUUGUAGAAGAUGUUUCGAGUGUGGCUCCGGUCUAAGUUCCUUGGAACAGGACGUCAUAGAGGGUGAGAAUCCCGUAUGUGACUGGUUGCCUUCGCUCAUGUGAAACUCUUUCGACGAGUCGAGUUGUUUGGGAAUGCAGCUCAAAAUGGGUGGUAAAUUUCAUCUAAAGCUAAAUAUUGGCCAGAGACCGAUAGCGCACAAGUAGAGUGAUCGAAAGAUGAAAAGCACUUUGGAAAGAGAGUUAAACAGUACGUGAAAUUGUUGAAAGGGAAGCGCUUGCAACCAGACUUGCGCGUGGUUGAUCAUCCGGGGUUCUCCCCGGUGCACUCGAUCACGCUCAGGCCAGCAUCGGUUUGGGUGGUUGGAUAAAGGCCUUGGGAAUGUGGCUUCCUUCGGGGAGUGUUAUAGCCCUCGGUGCAAUGCAGCCUACCCGGACCGAGG
RNAcentral lists this ribosomal RNA (547 nucleotides) under Stipitochalara longipes. RNAcentral describes it as "LSU rRNA". It matches the Rfam family "Eukaryotic large subunit ribosomal RNA", at positions 44 to 594 of the family's 3401-position model. Lineage: Eukaryota; Fungi; Ascomycota; Leotiomycetes; Helotiales; Hamatocanthoscyphaceae. The record is from RNAcentral.